UCUGGGAUAAGCCUGGGAAACUGGGUCUAAUACCGGAUAUGACCUUCCAUCGCAUGGUGGUUGGUGGAAAGCUUUUGUGGUUUUGGAUGGACUCGCGGCCUAUCAGCUUGUUGGUGGGGUAAUGGCCUACCAAGGCGACGACGGGUAGCCGGCCUGAGAGGGUGACCGGCCACACUGGGACUGAGACACGGCCCAGACUCCUACGGGAGGCAGCAGUGGGGAAUAUUGCACAAUGGGCGCAAGCCUGAUGCAGCGACGCCGCGUGAGGGAUGACGGCCUUCGGGUUGUAAACCUCUUUCAGUAGGGAAGAAGCCGCAAGGUGACGGUACCUGCAGAAGAAGCGCCGGCUAACUACGUGCCAGCAGCCGCGGUAAUACGUAGGGCGCAAGCGUUAUCCGGAAUUAUUGGGCGUAAAGAGCUCGUAGGCGGUUUGUCGCGUCUGCCGUGAAAGUCCGGGGCUCAACUCCGGAUCUGCGGUGGGUACGGGCAGACUAGAGUGAUGUAGGGGAGACUGGAAUUCCUGGUGUAGCGGUGAAAUGCGCAGAUAUCAGGAGGAACACCGAUGGCGAAGGCAGGUCUCUGGGCAUUAACUGACGCUGAGGAGCGAAAGCAUGGGGAGCGAACAGGAUUAGAUACCCUGGUAGUCCAUGCCGUAAACGUUGGGCACUAGGUGUGGGGGACAUUCCACGUUUUCCGCGCCGUAGCUAACGCAUUAAGUGCCCCGCCUGGGGAGUACGGCCGCAAGGCUAAAACUCAAAGGAAUUGACGGGGGCCCGCACAAGCGGCGGAGCAUGCGGAUUAAUUCGAUGCAACGCGAAGAACCUUACCAAGGCUUGACAUGAACCGGACCGCUGCAGAAAUGUGGUUUCCCCUUUGGGGCUGGUUUACAGGUGGUGCAUGGUUGUCGUCAGCUCGUGUCGUGAGAUGUUGGGUUAAGUCCCGCAACGAGCGCAACCCUCGUUCUAUGUUGCCAGCACGUGAUGGUGGGGACUCAUAGGAGACUGCCGGGGUCAACUCGGAGGAAGGUGGGGACGACGUCAAAUCAUCAUGCCCCUUAUGUCUUGGGCUUCACGCAUGCUACAAUGGCCGGUACAAAGGGUUGCGAUACUGUGAGGUGGAGCUAAUCCCAAAAAGCCGGUCUCAGUUCGGAUUG
This 1153-nucleotide ribosomal RNA is filed under the name Arthrobacter sp. YNd-5. RNAcentral's name for it is "bacterial SSU rRNA". It matches the Rfam family "Bacterial small subunit ribosomal RNA", at positions 137 to 1300 of the family's 1533-position model. Lineage: Bacteria; Bacillati; Actinomycetota; Actinomycetes; Micrococcales; Micrococcaceae. The record is from RNAcentral.